GAUUAACGCGAAGAACCUUACCUACCCUUGACAUGUGCGGAAUCCUCCAGAGAUGGAGGAGUGCCCGAAAGGGAACCGCAACACAGGUGCUGCAUGGCUGUCGUCAGCUCGUGUCGUGAGAUGUUGGGUUAAGUCCCGCAACGAGCGCAACCCUUGCCAUUAGUUGCUACAUUCAGUUGAGCACUCUAAUGGGACUGCCGGUGACAAACCGGAGGAAGGUGGGGAUGACGUCAAGUCCUCAUGGCCCUUAUGGGUAGGGCUACACACGUCAUACAAUGGCGCGUACAGAGGGUUGCCAACCCGCGAGGGGGAGCCAAUCCCAGAAAGCGCGUCGUAGUCCGGAUUGAAGUCUGCAACUCGACUUCAUGAAGUCGGAAUCGCUAGUAAUCGCGGAUCAGCAUGUCGCGGUGAAUACGUUCCCGGGCCUUGUACACACCGAAUC
Molecule: ribosomal RNA, 442 nt
Filed under: uncultured bacterium
Lineage: Bacteria
Description: bacterial SSU rRNA
Rfam family: Bacterial small subunit ribosomal RNA
Source: RNAcentral